Molecule: long non-coding RNA, 567 nt
Organism: Nothoprocta perdicaria
Lineage: Eukaryota; Metazoa; Chordata; Aves; Tinamiformes; Tinamidae
Exons: 2
Source: RefSeq, a predicted model, not a curated record
GAGUUGACAGCCCCAAGGACGUGGAGAGUUUCAUCAGGCCCUGAAUUGCUCUCGGACCUGUUAAUGUGCAGAGUUGAAGACUGCUAAUGCUGUCACCAGCUUCAGGACUGUUUACUGUGAAGACAGAAAUCUGUCUCGUUGCACUUACAAGAUAACUAAGAUGACCCAAGAGAAGCCUUUUAUAUAAAUACAUAUAUCAAGGUGUUUUGAAGGCUACUCUUUUCAUUCAGAUCUAUGACUACAUGGAAAGCUGCGUUUGCAUGUGAAGACUCCUGAUUCUGAUAAUGUCGUGACUUACCCGGAACUGUUGCUACCUGAGGUAACAUUUCCUUGACCAAACCYACUUUUAAGUAUUGUAGUCUCUUCCUUGAGCCAGCCGGGGUGAUCCUCGGUAGCAUUCAGCAAGAUGGAACAUGCAAUGGAGGGACAACUAAUACGAGCRCUUGGCAUUUAUUCUAACCUAUUAGUAAGCACAAUCAACUGUUGGAAAAGCUCACAGAAUUGGGUACUUCUACAUUUUUUUCUCCCAAAGACUUCUAUUAUUUACUGCCCUCUUCCUAAUCCUCC